UGAACGGUGAAUACUUGCUUGAGGUGUGGCU
This 31-nucleotide non-coding RNA is filed under the name Rattus norvegicus (Norway rat). Lineage: Eukaryota; Metazoa; Chordata; Mammalia; Rodentia; Muridae. The record is from RNAcentral.